RNAcentral lists this ribosomal RNA (247 nucleotides) under uncultured Bdellovibrio sp. RNAcentral describes it as "partial 16S ribosomal RNA". It matches the Rfam family "Bacterial small subunit ribosomal RNA", at positions 796 to 1041 of the family's 1533-position model. Lineage: Bacteria; Pseudomonadati; Bdellovibrionota; Bdellovibrionia; Bdellovibrionales; Pseudobdellovibrionaceae. The record is from RNAcentral.
CACGCUGUAAACGAUGGGCACUUGUUGUUGGAGGUAUUGACCCCUUCAGUGACGAAGCUAACGCGUUAAGUGCCCCGCCUGGGGAGUACGGUCGCAAGAUUAAAACUCAAAGAAAUUGACGGGGGCCCGCACAAGCGGUGGAGUAUGUGGUUUAAUUCGAUGCAACGCGAAAAACCUUACCUGGGCUUGACAUGAACUGGAAGGAUGCCAGAAAUGGCUCCGCUCGCAAGAGUCGGUUCACAGGUGC